GAUCAGGCUGACUGGGGACUGGGUACACAUAAGGUCCCCCACCAGCAGAGCCCAGCAUGGAUACCUGGAGCCAGGAGCAGGCAAGACUUGGAUUCACCCAAUUCAUAUGCUUAAUGCAACACUUCCCAGUGCACACAGGAACAGUGUCCUGGCUUUCCUGCACCCAUCAGAGGUUCCCACACAGCCAAGAUGUCCUCUGGAAGUCCCACCCAGAUGCUGACCUGAUGACUGCUCUCAGAGGCCAGAGACCUGCAAUCAUCCUUCAUACAGAGAGCCUUGAGAGAUGCUGCUAAUGAAGACAAAUGAAGGAAAAGGAACUUG
RNAcentral lists this long non-coding RNA (321 nucleotides) under Gallus gallus (chicken). RNAcentral describes it as "lncRNA (ENSGALG00010006594.1)". The record is from RNAcentral. Lineage: Eukaryota; Metazoa; Chordata; Aves; Galliformes; Phasianidae.